Molecule: ribosomal RNA, 425 nt
Filed under: uncultured bacterium
Lineage: Bacteria
Description: partial 16S ribosomal RNA
Rfam family: Bacterial small subunit ribosomal RNA
Source: RNAcentral
GUGGGGAAUCUUGUGCAAUGGGCGAAAGCCUGACGCAGCCAUGCCGCGUGAAUGAUGAAGGUCUUAGGAUUGUAAAAUUCUUUCACCGGGGACGAUAAUGACGGUACCCGGAGAAGAAGCUCCGGCUAACUUCGUGCCAGCAGCCGCGGUAAUACGAAGGGGGCUAGCGUUGCUCGGAAUUACUGGGCGUAAAGGGCGCGUAGGCGGACAGCUUAGUCAGAGGUGAAAGCCCAGGGCUCAACCUUGGAAUUGCCUUUGAUACUGGCUGUCUUGAGUUUGGGAGAGGUGAGUGGAACUCCGAGUGUAGAGGUGAAAUUCGUAGAUAUUCGGAAGAACACCAGUGGCGAAGGCGACUCACUGGCCCAAUACUGACGCUGAGGCGCGAAAGCGUGGGGAGCAAACAGGAUUAGAUACCCUGGUAGUCC